Molecule: long non-coding RNA, 269 nt
Organism: Vespula vulgaris
Lineage: Eukaryota; Metazoa; Arthropoda; Insecta; Hymenoptera; Vespidae
Exons: 3
Source: RefSeq, a predicted model, not a curated record
CUUUACUCACGCGCGGCUUGGAACGAACGAACGAACGAACGAACGAACGAACUCUGGCAUAAAAAUGCAGGCUUUAUUGAAACCGAGCUUUACAAUAGAGAAACGCAACAAUUUCUCACGUGUCACCAGGAUAAUAUCAGUGAAGGUUGUGCGACUGUGAUUGGAUAUAUUUUGAAGUACACAUCUUUCUUGAUGACUAUCUAAAUAAGGAUUUACUGCGUCGCUAAGCGUCCGGUCCAGACUAAAUCCAAACUGAAGUCCGAAUAAAG